Molecule: long non-coding RNA, 2407 nt
Filed under: Homo sapiens (human)
Lineage: Eukaryota; Metazoa; Chordata; Mammalia; Primates; Hominidae
Description: HSALNT0017305
Source: RNAcentral
CUCCAGCCUGGGCGACAGAGCAAGACUCCAUCUCAAAAAAAACCAACAACAACAACAACAACAACAACAACAAAAAGACCACUAGCUAGACUAAUAAAGAAGAAAAGAGAGAAGAUCCAAAUAAACACAAUUAGAAAUGAUAAAGGAAAUGUUACUACUGACCUCACAGAUAAAAAAACAACCACCAGAGACUACUAUGACCACAUCUACACAUACAGACUAGAAAACCUAAAACAGAUGAAUAAAUUCCUGGACACAUACACCCUCCCAAGACUGAGCAAGGAAGAAAUUGAUUCCCUGAACAGACCAAUAAUGAGCUCCGAAAUUCAAUCAGUAAUAAAUAGCCUACCAACCAAAAAAGGCCAGGACCUGAAGGACUCACAGCUGAAUUCUAUUAGAUGUGCAAAGAAGAGCUGGUACCAUUCCUACAGAAACUAUUCUAAAAAAUUGAGCAGAAAGGACUCCUUCCCAACUCAUUCUAUGAGGCUAGCAUCAUCUUAAUGGUAAACUUUCAAUGACUCUCCACCACCAAGAGGAUGAAUUUCUAUCUCCUUAGAAUGGCAUAUAAAGCCAUUUGUGAUUUGGCCCUGGCUUCCCUCUCCACUCCAGCAGCUGUACUUAAGUACUUGUAGGUCCCUUAGGGAGCCAUAAUUUGUGGCAUUUUUACAUGUUACUUCCUUGGCAUAUAUAUUUUAUUUUAUUUUUGUCAGGCCCACACCACUUAGAUGUUGCUGACUCUAGUAAAGCUUCCCUUACUCCCCAGGUGCUGGGCUAAGUACCCCUAUUCUGGGAACCCUUCUGCUUACCAUAUCACAGCACUUCCGUGACUUCAUAAUCGUCUGUUUACUUGCCAUUUCCUCUAUUAAAUUCUGAGCUCCCUGAUGGGAGUAUUCAUGGUUAGAGUCUCAGUCUCUAUUACGGGCCCUAGUACACUUCAGGAACUCAAAAGCUUUGCUGAUAUAAUGCAAGGUGAUAAAAAAGUAGAAAGACUUGGGAUAAUCUUGAUUUCUGAAGGCAUCAAACGGGAAUUAGAGAAAGCAGCAGGAAAAACGAAGGCCUUUUUAAGUUCCAUGAGAACUACGGUUUGCAAGACUGGUCAAAACAGUACAAUGCAAGCGGCAAGAAUCAGGAAGUGCACAGAAACAAGAAGCUCGGUGCACACUGGGAUCAGGCAAGCAUCUGGGAGAAGACUGUAGCAAGACUGGAUCCUGAGAAAUAUACAGAGUUCAGAGGCUCCAUGGCUACACUUUGGGCAUGUAUGUCAUUACAGGAAUGAAAAAAAGAUGAUGGCCAAAUGCUGUAUUAAAAUCCCAUUAGAAAUGCCGGGAGAAAUUUAUGGCCCCAAUCUCUUUUAUCUGACAGCAGUUCCCAUGUGAUCCAUCAGGCUCUGAACAUGAAUUUUAAUGGGCUCAGAACCACUUCUCUACCCUGAGGUCACAGGCUGUCAGAGUGAAUCUUCCACAAACUGAUUGGAACCUGAAGAAUUUGCUCUGUCAAGAGAGGAAAGAGGCACUCUGAAUUCAAAGGCUGUUUGAAUGAACUGACUGCUUCAGCACUGUCUUGUAGAUAUAGUCCAUUCAAAUAAAAGACAAAUAUCUGACUGAAUUUUGUUAGCACGUUAAGACAUGUAUUAUAAAAAGGUUUAAGAAGAAAAUAAUGGCCACAAUUCUUCAGAAAACAUGUGAACUAAUGUGACAAAACACUGUGGUGUUGCAAACUCAAGUGCUGCUCUGGCCAAGUCACCUCGCUGAAAUCUCCACUUCCACUUGUGCAACCUACCAAGCCACUCUCUACACAGCUGCCAGAGUGAUUACAAAAACAACGCGGGAUUAUGCUACCCCUGCUUAUCUAAAAUUUGUCAAAAUGCCCGUUACACUUUGAAUAAAAUACAGAUUCCUCUCAGAUCUCAUUUCUUAUCAUGUCUUUCUCAAUCAUUAUGUUCCAGCCUCACUGACCUUCUUUCUGUUCCUGUAAAAUAUUCCUGCCUCAAGGGCGCAGGCCUACGACCUGCAGUUCUCUUUUUCCCACAUGUGACCAGGCUCUCUCUUAGCCAUCAGGUCUCAAAUAAGCUCUUUCCGUUCUGUCUAGGCAUCUUAUCAAAAUCAACCUGUGUAUUAUUAUUCAUUUAUCACAUAAUCUUGUUUUAUUUUCCUCAUAGCACUCUCACUUUCUGAAAUUAUCUUUGUUUAUAUGUUUAAUGCCCUUCUUUUCCACUAGAAUGGAAACUCAAAGAUCAAGAAACUUAUCUGGCCUUUUCACUGUUGAAUUGCCAAAAUUUUGAACAGUGCCUAACAUACAGUAAAGGCUCAAUAAAUAAAUAAAUAAAUGUUCAGCUCUCUUGGCUGUCUCUGCAGUGAUCAAGAAUAUUUUGAUGUCUCUCAAAAGAACUAUAUGCUUAUAGUAGCCU